GCUUCCGUAAUAUGAGGCUUUGGCUUCGCGGCCGGCUGAAUAUUUUUUUCACCCAUGUCUUUUGCGCACUUGUUGUUUCCUGGGCGGGUUCGCCCGCCACCAGGACCAAACCAUAAACCUUUUUUUUUAAUGCAGUUGCAAUCAGCGUCAGUAAAAAACAAUGUAAUCAUUACAACUUUCAACAACGGAUCUCUUGGUUCUGGCAUCGAUGAAGAACGCAGCGAAAUGCGAUACGUAGUGUGAAUUGCAGAAUUCAGUGAAUCAUCGAAUCUUUGAACGCACAUUGCGCCCUUUGGUAUUCCAAAGGGCAUGCCUGUUCGAGCGUCAUUUGUACCUUCAAGCUUUGCUUGGUGUUGGGCGUUUUUUGUCUCCCUCUUGCUGGGAGACUCGCCUUAAAACGAUUGGCAGCCGGCCUACUGGUUUCGGAGCGCAGCACAUAUUUUGCACUCUGUGUCAGGAGAAAAGGACGGUAAUCCAUCAAGACUCUACAAAUUUUAACUUUUGACCUCGGAUCAGGUAGGGAUACCCGCUGAACUUAAGCAUAUCAAUAAGCGGAGGAA
This 560-nucleotide ribosomal RNA is filed under the name Bipolaris setariae. RNAcentral describes it as "eukaryotic LSU rRNA". The stretch from base 174 to 327 matches the Rfam family "5.8S ribosomal RNA". The record is from RNAcentral. Lineage: Eukaryota; Fungi; Ascomycota; Dothideomycetes; Pleosporales; Pleosporaceae.